GAAGGCCUACGGGGCGCAGCAGUGGGGGAUAUUGCACAAUGGGGGAAACCCUGAUGCAGCGACGCCGCGUGUGGGAAGACGGUCCUCUGGAUUGUAAACCACUGUCCCCAGGGACGAAGAUGACGGUACCUGGGGAGGAAGCUCCGGCUAACUACGUGCCAGCAGCCGCGGGAAUACGUAGGGAGCAAGCGUUGUCCGGAAUUACUGGGUGUAAAGGGAGCGUAGGCGGGAUGGCAAGUUGGGCGUUAAAUCUACCGGCUCAA
RNAcentral lists this ribosomal RNA (263 nucleotides) under uncultured bacterium. RNAcentral describes it as "partial 16S ribosomal RNA". It matches the Rfam family "Bacterial small subunit ribosomal RNA", at positions 333 to 612 of the family's 1533-position model. The record is from RNAcentral.